AAGUCGUAACAAGGUCUCCGUUGGUGAACCAGCGGAGGGAUCAUUAAUGAGUUGCAAAACUCCAACCAUCGCGAAUGUAACCCAUUGCAGUUGCUUCGGCGGGUGGCCCUGAGAGGGGCCGCGCUCCUCUACGGGGGGCAUGCUCGCCGGAGUCGUACAAACUCUUGUAUUUGUUGGCAUCUCUGAGUAACUUUACAAUAAGUUAAAACUUUCAACAACGGAUCUCUUGGUUCUG
Molecule: unclassified non-coding RNA, 235 nt
Filed under: Chaetomium sp.
Lineage: Eukaryota; Fungi; Ascomycota; Sordariomycetes; Sordariales; Chaetomiaceae
Description: partial internal transcribed spacer region
Rfam family: Eukaryotic small subunit ribosomal RNA (bases 1-46)
Source: RNAcentral